AAUAUUUUAUUCGCCGUAUGUCUCAACGCGGUCGGUAUAUGCGCACAUAUCUGUAUCGUCAAAGCGCUGCGACCGCGACCCGUUGUGUGACCUUGAGCUCUUCUGUUUCACUCCUCCCCUCACACUCUCUUCAUGCCAUGCCAUCCCGCUGAUAGUCGUGCAGCGCCAGCCUUAUUGGGUUCCUACUUCGCUCGUUUGGCAGCGCUGCGUACCGGACCUGUAAACCGUCGAGCUUCAUGCACACACCACCAGGGCGACGCGAAGUUUUGUGUUACAUUAGAAGCCUAGGCGUUGACAGUCUGUAUAUCUCAGUCGUCUGUGGCCGCGCCCCUGACCGUACGCCACGCCUCUCAGACGGCUGGCGCACAUGGCUUGGAGAGCUCGCCUCAAGGUCACGCUAGCUACAUAAUGCUCUUAAUGAGACCCUUGGUUAUCUUGACAAGUAAGAGCUGCUACCUAUCAGCCGCUCUUGGAACUACCAGCAGCCUCCAUUUCCCGACCACGGAUAGAGUGAGACAUUUAUCUGAUGCGCGCGAGAAUCAGAAUAACAGUUUAUACGAUUUUCUUCAUUUUGAGUUUUCGUGAGUGGCAUCUUGCAGCUUUAUUAUCAACAUAAAGAUGGUGCGGAAUUACAGAAGAAAAACAGGCAGACAAAAAUGGAGUAUACAAUCGAUGGAAUUUGCAGUGGUAGCUGUUAUUUCCGGGGAAAUGGGAUAUUUGAAGGCAUCACAACAUUUCAAUGUGCCAAAAACCUCUUUGUAAAGAUAUGUUGCAAAAAAGAAAAACAAUGUAAGCUAUGAAAUAGACAAAUCUGAGGGGAAAUAUCAUAAUGUAUUCACCCUAGAACAAGAUAUUGAAUUGGCUGACUAUUUAAAAUCUAUGGAAAGUAGACUCUUUGGUUUAGCAAUGAAAGACCUACGGUUCUUAGCAUUUCAGUUAGCUGAGUGAAACGGCCUGAGCCACAGAUUCAAUAACAGUACAGGUUUGGCAGAUGAGGAUUGGGCGAGAGGCUUUCUUUCACGACAUCCUACAUUAAGGGCGCGGUUCACAAAAUGGCAAGAAAUUCAGAGGAAAUUUGGGUGGCUGUAAUAAACAUAUUUAAUAAGAAAUAAAGAACAUAAUACUGACAAAUUAAAAAA
Long non-coding RNA from Bacillus rossius redtenbacheri, 1139 nucleotides. RefSeq lists it as uncharacterized. The transcript is spliced from 2 exons. The record is from RefSeq and is a predicted model, not a curated record. Lineage: Eukaryota; Metazoa; Arthropoda; Insecta; Phasmatodea; Bacillidae.